RNAcentral lists this non-coding RNA (207 nucleotides) under Bacillus sp. (in: firmicutes). RNAcentral's name for it is "Bacillus sp. T-box sequence". It matches the Rfam family "T-box leader". Rfam says of the family: Uncharged tRNA acts as the effector for transcription antitermination of genes in the T-box leader family. T-boxes are found upstream of many aminoacyl-tRNA synthetase genes and some amino acid biosynthetic genes usually in Gram-positive bacteria. The anticodon of a specific tRNA base pairs to a specifier sequence within the T-box motif, and the NCCA acceptor tail of the tRNA base pairs to a conserved bulge in the T-box antiterminator hairpin. Lineage: Bacteria; Bacillati; Bacillota; Bacilli; Caryophanales; Bacillaceae. The record is from RNAcentral.
AUAAAAACAUUGAAGGUGAAAAGUACAUGAUUAUUUGGCUUCUAGAGAAGGGUUUUCAUUGGCUGAAAAAAAUCCUAGUUCAAAAUCAUGGAAAGCUACACUGGAGUGCGUAAUAGCUCACUGGUUUCAUACCGUUAUGAUGAUCUAAGUGAUGAACGAAAAAUUAGUUCAUAAAUAGGGUGGUACCGCGAAAAUCUCGUCCCUGCA